RNAcentral lists this ribosomal RNA (1132 nucleotides) under uncultured bacterium. Its description in RNAcentral is "bacterial SSU rRNA". It matches the Rfam family "Bacterial small subunit ribosomal RNA", at positions 238 to 1421 of the family's 1533-position model. The record is from RNAcentral.
CUAUCAGCUUGUUGGUGGGGUAACGGCCCACCAAGGCUUUGACGGAUAGCCGGUCUGAGAGGAUGUACGGCCACACUGGGACUGAGACACUGCCCAGACUCCUACGGGAGGCUGCAGUCGAGAAUCUUUUGCAAUGGGCGAAAGCCUGACAAAGCAACGCCGCGUGAGUGAUGAAGGUCUCGGAUUGUAAAGCUCUGUCACCUGGGACGAAACCGUCCGGCGCUAACAUCGCCGGGCCAGGGGGCAAGCGUUGUUCGGAAUCACUGGGCGUAAAGGGUGCGUAGGUGGUUAUGUAAGUCGGAUGUGAAACUCCCUGGCUCAACCAGGGACCUGCAUUCGAAACUGCAUAGCUUGAGUACGGGGGAAGAGAGUGGAAUUCUCAGUGUAGCGGUGAAAUGCGUAGAUAUUGAGAAGAACACCUGUGGCGAAAGCGGCUCUCUACCUUGAUACUGACACUGAGGCACGAAAGCUAGGGUAGCAAACGGGAUUAGAUACCCCGGUAGUCCUAGCCGUAAACGAUGUACACUGGGUGUAGGAGGUAUCAACCCCUCCUGUGCCGAAGCUAACGCAUUAAGUGUACCGCCUGGGGAGUACGGCCGCAAGGCUAAAACUCAAAGGAAUUGACGGGGGCCCGCACAAGCGGUGGAGCAUGUGGUUUAAUACGACGCAACGCGUAGAACCUUACCAGGGCUUGACAUGUACAUGAAAUCCUUAUGAAAGUAGGGACCUCCUUCGGGACAUGUACACAGGUGUUGCAUGGCUGUCGUCAGCUCGUGUCGUGAGAUGUUGGGUUAAGUCCCGCAACGAGCGCAACCCUUUUCCAUAGUUACCAUCAUUCAGUUGGGGACUCUAUGGAUACUGCCUCGGUUAACGAGGAGGAAGGUGAGGAUGACGUCAAGUCAUUAUGGCCCUUACGCCCUGGGCCACACACGUGCUACAAUGGCCGGUACAAAGGGAUGCCAAACCGCAAGGUGGAGCAAAUCCCAGAAAACCGGCCCCAGUUCGGAUCGAGGGCUGCAACUCGCCCUCGUGAAGUUGGAAUCGCUAGUAAUGGCGGAUCAGCUACGCCGCCGUGAAUACGUUCCCGGGCCUUGUACACACCGCCCGUCACACCACGAGAGCUGAUUGUACC